This is a long non-coding RNA of Aegilops tauschii subsp. strangulata, 543 nucleotides long. RefSeq lists it as uncharacterized. The record is from RefSeq and is a predicted model, not a curated record. Lineage: Eukaryota; Viridiplantae; Streptophyta; Magnoliopsida; Poales; Poaceae.
CUUAUGCAGAUGAUGAUGGUGAACAUAUUGAAAAGAAAUGGCACCUAUUUUACACAAGCGAGCCGUACAGCAUGGUGACAAACAUCGACCCACAGGAGUUUUGAAUCAGGAUCUGAAGACGAGGAAGGAGUGGUAGCAAAUUAAGGAGGCAAGAGCAUUGUUAAUUUCCUGCUGCUAGCUACAUACAGUACAUGGAGGAACAACAAGAUGAGAAACUUCAACCCCCAGGAGUCAUCAUGACCAAUGACCCUGCCUUGACUCUUGCAGAGGAAGGAGUGACAGGUUAACUUCCCGCUAGCUACAUACAGCUACAGUGCUGCUCACACAACUUGACGUGCAGCAAGAUUAGUCUGGACUAGUGGAUACAUAGCACUAGUAGCUUGCUCCCUGUUUUGUAUCCCUCCCGGUAUUCUUUGGUUCCUAGUACUAGCAGUGGUUAUUUAAUUUGGCCUGUAUGUAUAUAAGUUAUUUAACUGCAUGUACUACUGAAGAUGGUCUAUCAUUCGAUCAAUAAAGAAAGAACCUUUUUGUACUACCAAUUCU